RNAcentral lists this ribosomal RNA (253 nucleotides) under uncultured Truepera sp. RNAcentral describes it as "partial 16S ribosomal RNA". It matches the Rfam family "Bacterial small subunit ribosomal RNA", at positions 524 to 776 of the family's 1533-position model. Lineage: Bacteria; Thermotogati; Deinococcota; Deinococci; Trueperales; Trueperaceae. The record is from RNAcentral.
UACGGAGGGUGCGAGCGUUGUCCGGAAUUACUGGGCGUAAAGGGCGUGUAGGCGGUUUGUUAAGUCUGAUGUUAAAGGUUGGGGCUCAACCCCGGCAUGGCGUUGGAUACUGGCAGGCUUGACGGCUGGAGAGGCGAGUGGAAUUGCCAGUGUAGCGGUGAAAUGCGUAGAUACUGGUAGGAACACCUAUUGCGAAGGCAGCUCGCUGGACAGUUCGUGACGCUGUGGCGCGAAAGUGUGGGGAGCAAACCGG